This is a non-coding RNA of Pelobates cultripes (western spadefoot toad), 134 nucleotides long. Lineage: Eukaryota; Metazoa; Chordata; Amphibia; Anura; Pelobatidae. The record is from the annotation of a GenBank genome assembly.
UUGCAGUCAAUUAAGCCGACCAUCAUUUGCUGCAAUCAGUUGCUGGUGUGCAAUGGCUGCAUACAUAAAGUUCCUUGGCUGUGUAUGUGCUUUGUUUACCAUACAGGGUACUCUAAGGGGCCUUGGAAACAUCC